RNAcentral lists this ribosomal RNA (253 nucleotides) under uncultured bacterium. RNAcentral's name for it is "partial 16S ribosomal RNA". It matches the Rfam family "Bacterial small subunit ribosomal RNA", at positions 524 to 776 of the family's 1533-position model. The record is from RNAcentral.
UACAGAGGGUGCGAGCGUUAAUCGGAAUUACUGGGCGUAAAGCGCGCGUAGGCGGCUUUGCAAGUCGGGUGUGAAAUCCCCAGGCUUAACCUGGGAACUGCAUUUGAGACUGCAUUGCUAGAGUAUGGGAGAGGGAAGUGGAAUUUCCGGUGUAGCGGUGAAAUGCGUAGAUAUCGGAAGGAACAUCAGUGGCGAAAGCGACUUCCUGGACCAAUACUGACGCUCAUGUGCGAAAGCGUGGGGAGCAAACAGG